RNAcentral lists this unclassified non-coding RNA (385 nucleotides) under soil metagenome. RNAcentral describes it as "partial contains 5.8S ribosomal RNA, internal transcribed spacer 2, and large subunit ribosomal RNA". The stretch from base 1 to 120 matches the Rfam family "5.8S ribosomal RNA", at positions 35 to 154 of the family's 154-position model. The record is from RNAcentral.
GAUGAAGAACGCAGCGAAAUGCGAUAAGUAAUGUGAAUUGCAGAAUUCAGUGAAUCAUCGAAUCUUUGAACGCACCUUGCGCUCCUUGGUAUUCCGAGGAGCAUGCCUGUUUGAGUGUCAUUAAAUUCUCAACCUCACCAGUUUUCUGAACUGUUCUCCGAGGCUUGGAUGUGGGGGUUUGUGCAGGCUGCCUCAGCGCGGUCUGCUCCCCUGAAAUGCAUUAGCGAGUUCGAUACUGAGCUCCGUCUAUUGGUGUGAUAAUUAUCUACGCCGUGGAUCGGGGCUUAGACUCGCUUCUAACCGUCCACAAGGACAAUACCUUGACAAUUUGACCUCAAAUCAGGUAGGACUACCCGCUGAACUUAAGCAUAUCAAUAAGCGAGGA